UUUUAGAAAUUAAUUUAAAGUCUAGCCUGCCCACUGAAUAAUUUUAAAUGGCCGCAGUAUCCUAACUGUGCAAAGGUAGCAUAAUCAUUAGUCUUUUAAUUGAAGGCUGGAAUGAAUGGUUGGAUGAAAUAUUAACUGUUUCAUAAAAAUUUAUAAUAGAAUUUUAUUUUUUAGUCAAAAAGCUAAAAUUAAAUUAAAAGACGAGAAGACCCUAUAAAUCUUUAUAUUUAGAUAAUUUUAAUUAUUUAGAUAAAUUAAAUUAUAAUUAUUUUAAAUAUUUUAUUGGGGUGAUAUUAAAAUUUAAUAAACUUUUAAUUUAUAAUGUACAUAAAUUAAUGAAUUAUUGAUCCAUUUAUUAUGAUUAAAAAAUUAAGUUACUUUAGGGAUAACAGCGUAAUUUUUUUAGAGAGUUCAUAUUGAUAAAAA
RNAcentral lists this ribosomal RNA (426 nucleotides) under Megaselia albicans. Its description in RNAcentral is "partial 16S ribosomal RNA". Lineage: Eukaryota; Metazoa; Arthropoda; Insecta; Diptera; Phoridae. The record is from RNAcentral.